This 364-nucleotide ribosomal RNA is filed under the name Marmorana scabriuscula. RNAcentral's name for it is "partial 16S ribosomal RNA". It matches the Rfam family "Archaeal large subunit ribosomal RNA", at positions 2027 to 2688 of the family's 2987-position model. Lineage: Eukaryota; Metazoa; Mollusca; Gastropoda; Stylommatophora; Helicidae. The record is from RNAcentral.
GCAAAGGUAGCAUAAUCAGUUGGCUUAUAAUUGAAGUCUGGCAUGAACGAAAUUACGGGUAGAAGCUAUCUAUAAAAUAUUUUUAUGAACUUGGUUAGUAAGUGAAAAAACUUACAGAAUUAAAAUAGACGAGAAGACCCUAGAAAUUUUAAUACGUAUAGCAUUUUUGUUGGGGCGACAGAGUUACAAAGAACUAACUUUAAAGAACAUGAAACAGAGGUAAUAGAUAAAAUUACUCUAGGGAUAACAGCAUAAUUUUAUUAGUUUAUGACCUCGAUGUUGGACUAGGGACGGUAUACUUUAGAAGAGUGCACUGUAUGCUCUGUUCGAGCAGCAAUACCUACAUGAUCUGAGUCCAAAUCGA